AACGAACGCUGGCGGCAUGCCUAACACAUGCAAGUCGAACGAGAUCCUUCGGGGUCUAGUGGCGCACGGGUGCGUAACGCGUGGGAAUCUGCCCUUAGGUUCGGAAUAACAGUUAGAAAUGACUGCUAAUACCGGAUGAUGACGUUAAGUCCAAAGAUUUAUCGCCUGAGGAUGAGCCCGCGUAGGAUUAGCUAGUUGGUGUGGUAAAGGCGCACCAAGGCGACGAUCCUUAGCUGGUCUGAGAGGAUGAUCAGCCACACUGGGACUGAGACACGGCCCAGACUCCUACGGGAGGCAGCAGUGGGGAAUAUUGGACAAUGGGCGCAAGCCUGACCCAGCAAUGCCGCGUGAGUGAUGAAGGCCUUAGGGUUGUAAAGCUCUUUUACCCGGGAUGAUAAUGACAGUACCGGGAGAAUAAGCCCCGGCUAACUCCGUG
This 436-nucleotide ribosomal RNA is filed under the name uncultured bacterium. RNAcentral describes it as "partial 16S ribosomal RNA". It matches the Rfam family "Bacterial small subunit ribosomal RNA", at positions 29 to 507 of the family's 1533-position model. The record is from RNAcentral.